This is a long non-coding RNA of Balaenoptera ricei (Rice's whale), 521 nucleotides long. RefSeq lists it as uncharacterized. Lineage: Eukaryota; Metazoa; Chordata; Mammalia; Artiodactyla; Balaenopteridae. The transcript is spliced from 2 exons. The record is from RefSeq and is a predicted model, not a curated record.
UUGUGUCUCCUCAGGCACCGCCGAGGCUGCGGCUGGGACGCUGGGCUCAGCUUCUCUGCCGACAGGAGCUCGGUCUCCUCAGGACUCGCUGGGGUUUCGGCUCAGGACAACGUGAGGCUGCGUCCACGCGGACGGGAGCUGGGUUUCCUGAGGACGCAGGCGACGCGGGGAGGAAAAGGUUUUUUUGGUGGAAUGAUGUGGAAAAUUGAACUUCCAAAAUCCCACGGUUUCUACCACAUCCAAGUCAUCCCCAACAGGGAAGAAAGGGAAGCCCUUUAUAUUGGGAAGUCCUCAUACAGUCUUUCCACAGUGCCUCUAAAUGACGUGUGGACUUGGGGUGAACUGGAUCUGGGUAAGGCUUGGCCUCUAUGGAAGUUUGAUGUUUCCUCUGCCUUUCUGGCAUGGUUUUGACAUGGUGUUUUGAAAAGUCAUUGACUUUCCAGUAAUUUCAAACGUACAGACAACUUUACAUACAGAAAAGCAAGUCUUGUAUCUUGAUUAAAUAUAUUCCUAAAUAUUAA